GGAAACACAACAUACCCAAACGUAUGGGACAUGAGACGUUAGUUCUGAUAGGCAAGUUCAUAGCACAAAGUGCCUCCAUUAAAAACAAACAAAAACAAAAGCAAGUUGGAGAGAUCCCGUACUAGUAACCAUAGGAUCACACCUGAAAGCUCUAGAACAAAGAGAAGAAAUCACACCGGGAAGGAGCAGAUGGCAGGGAAUCAUCAGACUCAGGGCUGAAGUCAGUGAAGUAGAAAUGGACAAACAGCAAACAGAAUGGAAGGAAUCAGUGGGCCGGUGUUGGUUCUCUGAGACGCCUGGUAAGCUUUACAAACCCCUAUCCAAACUGAAGUGCGGAGAGAGAAUAUCCAAACUAAGAAAGUUAGAAAUGAGAAGGGGGAACAUAACAAGAGUCACCGAGGCAAUCCAGAGAAUCAGUCAUAAAAACAAAUUCUAAAAACCUGAACUCCAUUAUACAUAAAAAUCUAAAAGGAACGUGUGAUUUUUCUGGAUACAUACCACUUUCAAAAUUUAAAUAAAGAUCAGAUAAAGCAAUUUAGACUACUGUAAUCUCUAGUGAAAUAGAAGCAGUUAUUGAAGUCCCCAAACCAAAAAAAACAAAAAAAAAAAC
This 610-nucleotide long non-coding RNA is filed under the name Rattus norvegicus (Norway rat). RNAcentral's name for it is "long non-coding RNA NONRATT019631". Lineage: Eukaryota; Metazoa; Chordata; Mammalia; Rodentia; Muridae. The record is from RNAcentral.